GACGAACGCUGGCGGCGUGCUUAACACAUGCAAGUCGAACGGAAAGGCCCUGCUUUUGUGGGGUGCUCGAGUGGCGAACGGGUGAGUAACACGUGAGUAACCUGCCCUUGACUUUGGGAUAACUUCAGGAAACUGGGGCUAAUACCGGAUAGGAGCUCCUGCUGCAUGGUGGGGGUUGGAAAGUUUCGGCGGUUGGGGAUGGACUCGCGGCUUAUCAGCUUGUUGGUGGGGUAGUGGCUUACCAAGGCUUUGACGGGUAGCCGGCCUGAGAGGGUGACCGGCCACAUUGGGACUGAGAUACGGCCCAGACUCCUACGGGAGGCAGCAGUGGGGAAUAUUGCACAAUGGGCGGAAGCCUGAUGCAGCAACGCCGCGUGCGGGAUGACGGCCUUCGGGUUGUAAACCGCUUUCGCCUGUGACGAAGCGUGAGUGACGGUAAUGGGUAAAGAAGCACCGGCUAACUACGUGCCAGCAGCCGCGGUGAUACGUAGGGUGCGAGCGUUGUCCGGAUUUAUUANGCGUAAAGGGCUCGUAGGUGGUUGAUCGCGUCGGAAGUGUAAUCUUGGGGCUUAACCCUGAGCGUGCUUUCGAUACGGGUUGACUUGAGGAAGGUAGGGGAGAAUGGAGUUCCUGGUGGAGCGGUGGAAUGCGCAGAUAUCAGGAGGAACACCAGUGGCGAAGGCGGUUCUCUGGGCCUUUCCUGACGCUGAGGAGCGAAAGCGUGGGGAGCGAACAGGCUUAGAUACCCUGGUAGUCCACGCUGUAAACGGUGGGUACUAGGUGUGGGGUCCAUUCCACGGGUUCCGUGCCGUAGCUAACGCUUUAAGUACCCCGCCUGGGGAGUACGGCCGCAAGGCUAAAACUCAAAGGAAUUGACGGGGCCCCGCACAAGCGGCGGAGCAUGCGGAUUAAUUCGAUGCAACGCGUAGAACCUUACCUGGGUUUGACAUGGAUCGGGAGCGCUCAGAGAUGGGUGUGCCUCUUUUGGGGUCGGUUCACAGGUGGUGCAUGGCUGUCGUCAGCUCGUGUCGUGAGAUGUUGGGUUAAGUCCCGCAACGAGCGCAACCCUUGUUCACUGUUGCCAGCACGUUAUGGUGGGGACUCAGUGGAGACCGCCGGGGUCAACUCGGAGGAAGGUGGGGAUGACGUCAAGUCAUCAUGCCCCUUAUGUCCAGGGCUUCACGCAUGCUACAAUGGCUGGUACAGAGAGUGGCGAGCCUGUGAGGGUGAGCGAAUCUCGGAAAGCCGGUCUCAGUUCGGAUUGGGGUCUGCAACUCGACCUCAUGAAGUCGGAGUCGCUAGUAAUCGCAGAUCAGCAACGCUGCGGUGAAUACGUUCCCGGGGCU
This 1346-nucleotide ribosomal RNA is filed under the name uncultured bacterium. RNAcentral's name for it is "bacterial SSU rRNA". It matches the Rfam family "Bacterial small subunit ribosomal RNA", at positions 28 to 1381 of the family's 1533-position model. The record is from RNAcentral.